Carica papaya (papaya) is the source of this 1056-nucleotide non-coding RNA. The record is from RefSeq and is a predicted model, not a curated record. NCBI's taxonomy places the organism in Eukaryota, Viridiplantae, Streptophyta, Magnoliopsida, Brassicales, Caricaceae.
AUGUGAUCGCUGGAAAUCUUCUGGACGAAUUCAGGUAUUUCAAUAUUAUUCAGAAUGUUGUUUCUAAAGAUAAAAAAAAAGGUAGCGUGGUGAAAUAUACGUUCGAGUACGAGAAGUUGAAUGAGCAAGUUGCAGAUCCAACCUUAUUUAUGCAGAACGAAAUUGAAACCGCAAGACGAGUUGAUGAAUACCUUACGAACAAUAAAAAUUAGUCUAUUUCGGAAAUAAAAAGUUUAAGAUUUAUCGUCGAGCAAUAUUUGUAAGUAAAUAAAUAAAUAAAAAUAUGUAAAUAAAUAAAUGUAAUCUUUGCUCAAAUUUAUAUUUCUUUCUCGCUAAUAUUAAUUAAGAAAUAAAUUAUGUAAUGUUGUUAUAAAAGUAUAUAUUUAUGUAUUCAAUGAUAAAAAUAUAUCCAUUGUAUAUGCAAUAGUCUCGCGGUCGAGAGAGAGAGAGAGAGGGAGAAGAGAAGAGGAGACAGCGGGCGGGAGAAAGAGACGGAGAGAUUGGCGAGUGAAGUGGAGAUUCGGCGUGCCGAGAAGAAGAGAGGGAGAAUUCGAUGGUGAGCUUUCCUUCGUGAGUCUCCUAGUCGUGCCGUACAUCAUUACAGAAAAGAGGAACACUCACGCCGCCGCUGCAAGUCGGAGCGUCACAGAUCUAGGGUUUACUCUUGGAUAUGGUGGAUGGACUUGGUACAUAGGAAACUCUACUGUAAACGUUUUCUCAUACCGGAUGGGGUAUCGAGGAAUUAUAUUUUUGGUGCUUAUACUGGACGGAGCAUGGGGACAGCCCGAUUCACCCUUAUACUGGAUGAUGUAUUGAGGGAUGGUACUUUUGGCGCUCAUACUGGACGGGGUAUGGGGACGACCGAUCAAGAGAACCAAGAUCCAGAUCCCGAUCAAUGAGGGAGUUGUGAAUAGUUAACCACCAGACUCCCUUCAAAGGCUAGUGAAGAUCGUCUUAGAAUACCUAAUUAUUUUACUUUUCAUUUAUUUAUUGAUUUUUUGCUUGUUCUUUUAGAAUGAUCAUUCUUAUAUUCCUGUUGAGUAUUCUCAAUUAUUG